AUUGAACGCUGGCGGCAUGCUUUACACAUGCAAGUCGAACGGCAGCGCGGGCUUCGGCCUGGCGGCGAGUGGCGAACGGGUGAGUAAUGCAUCGGAACGUGCCCAGUAGUGGGGGAUAGCCCGGCGAAAGCCGGAUUAAUACCGCAUACGACCUGAGGGUGAAAGCGGGGGACCGAAAGGCCUCGCGCUAUUGUAGCGGCCGAUGUCGGAUUAGCUAGUUGGUGGGGUAAAGGCUUACCAAGGCGACGAUCCGUAGCUGGUCUGAGAGGACGACCAGCCACACUGGGACUGAGACACGGCCCAGACUCCUACGGGAGGCAGCAGUGGGGAAUUUUGGACAAUGGGGGCAACCCUGAUCCAGCCAUGCCGCAUGCGGGAAGAAGGCCUUCGGGUUGUAAACCGCUUUUGUUCGGGAAGAAAUCCUCUGGGCUAAUACCCCGGGGGGAUGACGGUACCGGAGGAAUAAGCACCGGCUAACUACGUG
Molecule: ribosomal RNA, 484 nt
Filed under: uncultured bacterium
Lineage: Bacteria
Description: partial 16S ribosomal RNA
Rfam family: Bacterial small subunit ribosomal RNA
Source: RNAcentral